AGAGUUUUGACCAGGCUCAGAUUGAACGCUGGCGGCAGGCCUAACACAUGCAAGUCGAGCGGUAGCACAGAGAGCUUGCUCUCGGGUGACGAGCGGCGGACGGGUGAGUAAUGUCUGGGAAACUGCCUGAUGGAGGGGGAUAACUACUGGAAACGGUAGCUAAUACCGCAUAAUGUCGCAAGACCAAAGUGGGGGACCUUCGGGCCUCAUGCCAUCAGAUGUGCCCAGAUGGGAUUAGCUAGUAGGUGGGGUAACGGCUCACCUAGGCGACGAUCCCUAGCUGGUCUGAGAGGAUGACCAGCCACACUGGAACUGAGACACGGUCCAGACUCCUACGGGAGGCAGCAGUGGGGAAUAUUGCACAAUGGGCGCAAGCCUGAUGCAGCCAUGCCGCGUGUGUGAAGAAGGCCUUCGGGUUGUAAAGCACUUUCAGCGGGGAGGAAGGCGUUAAGGUUAAUAACCUUGGCGAUUGACGUUACCCGCAGAAGAAGCACCGGCUAACUCCGUGCCAGCAGCCGCGGUAAUACGGAGGGUGCAAGCGUUAAUCGGAAUUACUGGGCGUAAAGCGCACGCAGGCGGUCUGUCAAGUCGGAUGUGAAAUCCCCGGGCUCAACCUGGGAACUGCAUUCGAAACUGGCAGGCUAGAGUCUUGUAGAGGGGGGUAGAAUUCCAGGUGUAGCGGUGAAAUGCGUAGAGAUCUGGAGGAAUACCGGUGGCGAAGGCGGCCCCCUGGACAAAGACUGACGCUCAGGUGCGAAAGCGUGGGGAGCAAACAGGAUUAGAUACCCUGGUAGUCCACGCCGUAAACGAUGUCGAUUUGGAGGUUGUGCCCUUGAGGCGUGGCUUCCGGAGCUAACGCGUUAAAUCGACCGCCUGGGGAGUACGGCCGCAAGGUUAAAACUCAAAUGAAUUGACGGGGGCCCGCACAAGCGGUGGAGCAUGUGGUUUAAUUCGAUGCAACGCGAAGAACCUUACCUGGUCUUGACAUCCACAGAACUUACCAGAGAUGCAUUGGUGCCUUCGGGAACUGUGAGACAGGUGCUGCAUGGCUGUCGUCAGCUCGUGUUGUGAAAUGUUGGGUUAAGUCCCGCAACGAGCGCAACCCUUAUCCUUUGUUGCCAGCGGUCCGGCCGGGAACUCAAAGGAGACUGCCAGUGAUAAACUGGAGGAAGGUGGGGAUGACGUCAAGUCAUCAUGGCCCUUACGACCAGGGCUACACACGUGCUACAAUGGCAUAUACAAAGAGAAGCGACCUCGCGAGAGCAAGCGGACCUCAUAAAGUAUGUCGUAGUCCGGAUUGGAGUCUGCAACUCGACUCCAUGAAGUCGGAAUCGCUAGUAAUCGUAGAUCAGAAUGCUACGGUGAAUACGUUCCCGGGCCUUGUACACACCGCCCGUCACACCAUGGGAGUGGGUUGCAAAAGAAGUAGGUAGCUUAACCUUCGGGAGGGCGCUUACCACUUUGUGAUUCAUGACUGGGGUGAAG
This 1485-nucleotide ribosomal RNA is filed under the name Heyndrickxia coagulans. RNAcentral's name for it is "bacterial SSU rRNA". It matches the Rfam family "Bacterial small subunit ribosomal RNA". Lineage: Bacteria; Bacillati; Bacillota; Bacilli; Caryophanales; Bacillaceae. The record is from RNAcentral.